GAGUACUUUGAUUCUUGAUCCUCGGGUACUAUCUCUUUACUUUUGCCAUAAUGCUCACCACCUAGACAUAAUGCACAAUAAGCCAUUUACUACAUUUGUGCUAAAUUAUUAUAAAACCAAUUCAGGCUUUAUACUAAUGCAUGAAAUGGGAUGUAAAUUGUUCGGAUUAUCGUCUAAACACGAUGUUCUACACAAAUUCAAUUGUGUACCUAAAUAAAAUAGUAUU
This 226-nucleotide long non-coding RNA is filed under the name Theobroma cacao (cacao). RNAcentral's name for it is "long non-coding RNA (TCAC_LNC002555)". The record is from RNAcentral. Lineage: Eukaryota; Viridiplantae; Streptophyta; Magnoliopsida; Malvales; Malvaceae.